AUGAACGCUGGCGGCGUGCCUAAUACAUGCAAGUCGAGCGAACAGACGAGGAGCUUGCUCCUCUGACGUUAGCGGCGGACGGGUGAGUAACACGUGGAUAACCUACCUAUAAGACUGGGAUAACUUCGGGAAACCGGAGCUAAUACCGGAUAAUAUAUUGAACCGCAUGGUUCAAUAGUGAAAGACGGUUUUGCUGUCACUUAUAGAUGGAUCCGCGCCGCAUUAGCUAGUUGGUAAGGUAACGGCUUACCAAGGCAACGAUGCGUAGCCGACCUGAGAGGGUGAUCGGCCACACUGGAACUGAGACACGGUCCAGACUCCUACGGGAGGCAGCAGUAGGGAAUCUUCCGCAAUGGGCGAAAGCCUGACGGAGCAACGCCGCGUGAGUGAUGAAGGUCUUCGGAUCGUAAAACUCUGUUAUUAGGUAAGAACAAAUGUGUAAGUAACUAUGCACGUCUUGACGGUACCUAAUCAGAAAGCCACGGCUAACUACGUG
Molecule: ribosomal RNA, 496 nt
Filed under: uncultured bacterium
Lineage: Bacteria
Description: partial 16S ribosomal RNA
Rfam family: Bacterial small subunit ribosomal RNA
Source: RNAcentral